This 378-nucleotide unclassified non-coding RNA is filed under the name plant metagenome. Its description in RNAcentral is "partial contains 5.8S ribosomal RNA, internal transcribed spacer 2, and large subunit ribosomal RNA". The stretch from base 1 to 105 matches the Rfam family "5.8S ribosomal RNA", at positions 50 to 154 of the family's 154-position model. The record is from RNAcentral.
GAAAUGCGAUAAGUAAUGUGAAUUGCAGAAUUCAGUGAAUCAUCGAAUCUUUGAACGCACCUUGCGCUCCUUGGUAUUUCUUGGAGCAUGCCUGUUUGAGUAUCAUGAAAUCUUCAAAGUAAAUCUUUUGUUAACUCAAUUGGCUUCUACUUUGGUAUUGGAGGUCUUUGCAGCUUCACACCUGCUCCUCUUUGUUCAUUAGCUGGAUCUCAGUGUUAUGCUUGGUUCCACUCGGCGUGAUAAGUUAUCUAUUGCUGAGGACACUGUAAAAGGUGGCCAAGGUAAAUGCAGAUGAACCGCUUCUAAUAGUCCAUUGACUUGGACAAUACUUUUAUGAUCUGAUCUCAAAUCAGGUAGGACUACCCGCUGAACUUAAGG